This 446-nucleotide ribosomal RNA is filed under the name Atherion elymus. RNAcentral's name for it is "partial 12S rRNA". It matches the Rfam family "Bacterial small subunit ribosomal RNA", at positions 339 to 991 of the family's 1533-position model. The record is from RNAcentral. Lineage: Eukaryota; Metazoa; Chordata; Actinopteri; Atheriniformes; Atherinidae.
CAAGGGAAUUCAGCAGUGAUAAAUCUUAAGCCAUAAGUGAAAACUUGACUUAGUUAUAAGCCAACAGGGCCGGUUAAACUCGUGCCAGCCACCGCGGUUAUACGAGAGGCCCAAGUUAAUACCCCCCGGCGUAAAGGGUGGUUAAGAAAAAUUUUUACUAGGGCUAAAUAUUCUCCAAGCUGUCAUACGCACCUGAGAAAAAGAGAACCUUAUACGAAAGUGGCCUUAACUUAUCUGAAUCCACGAAAGCCAGGGAACAAACUGGGAUUAGAUACCCCACUAUGCCUUGCCUUAAACCUUAUUAGCAUAAUUUACUGCCUAAUCGCCAGGGUACUACGAGCAUCAGCUUAAAACCCAAAGGACUUGGCGGUGCUUUAGACCCCCCUAGAGGAGCCUGUUUAAGAACCGAUAACCCCCGUUUAACCUCACCCCUUCUUGUUUAUUCC